UACGUAGGGUGCAAGCGUUAAUCGGAAUUACUGGGCGUAAAGCGUGCGCAGGCGGUUUUGUAAGUCUGUCGUGAAAUCCCCGGGCUCAACCUGGGAAUUGCGAUGGAGACUGCAAGGCUAGAAUCUGGCAGAGGGGGUAGAAUUCCACGUGUAGCAGUCGAAAUGCGUAGAGAUGUGGAGGAACACCGAUGGCAAAGGCAGCCCCUGGGUCAAGAUUGACGCUCAUGCACGAAAGCGUGGGGAGCGAAACAGG
This 253-nucleotide ribosomal RNA is filed under the name uncultured bacterium. Its description in RNAcentral is "partial 16S ribosomal RNA". It matches the Rfam family "Bacterial small subunit ribosomal RNA", at positions 524 to 776 of the family's 1533-position model. The record is from RNAcentral.